UACGUAGGGUGCAAGCGUUAAUCGGAAUUACUGGGCGUAAAGCGUGCGCAGGCGGUUUUGUAAGUCUGAUGUGAAAUCCCCGGGCUCAACCUGGGAAUUGCAUUGGAGACUGCAAGGCUAGAAUCUGGCAGAGGGGGGUAGAAUUCCACGUGUAGCAGUGAAAUGCGUAGAGAUGUGGAGGAACACCGAUGGCGAAGGCAGCCCCCUGGGUCACGAUUGACGCUCAUGCACGAAAGCGUGGGGAGCAAACAGG
Molecule: ribosomal RNA, 253 nt
Filed under: uncultured bacterium
Lineage: Bacteria
Description: partial 16S ribosomal RNA
Rfam family: Bacterial small subunit ribosomal RNA
Source: RNAcentral